Long non-coding RNA from Thamnophis sirtalis, 446 nucleotides. RefSeq lists it as uncharacterized. The record is from RefSeq and is a predicted model, not a curated record. NCBI's taxonomy places the organism in Eukaryota, Metazoa, Chordata, Lepidosauria, Squamata, Natricidae.
GUGUGUGUGUGUGUGUGUGUGUGGAGAGGGGGUUCCUGGCCUAAAAGCGGCUCUCGGAGGGAAGACUUCGGACCGCAUCCGGAGUCUGAGGGGUGUUCUUGCCACAAUAAAGUGGAAACUGCGAUGAAAACGAAGAAUUAAUAAAGCCAUUAAAAUGGCCUCAUAUGUAUAAAAUCAAUGCCAGUCAUAGAUUGAAAGUCGCCUUUAUCAGUGCUGGGUUCCGGAUCCUGUUUCAACCAGUACGGUGCAAUAGAGCCCGGUGUCUCCCACAUGCACACGCGCAGCGCGCCCAUGGGUCCUUAUCUCUUGAAAUGCAUCCGUGAUGCUCCAGCUGCUCGGCAGAGCAUUGCGCAGGCGCCAUACAUACCAUGCGUGUGCAUGAAAGCACCAAAGAGCUCAAAUACAGCCCAGAUCUGGAUACAGUGACAUGAUAGCAGUGUUCCAAU